GGGCCAGACUCCUACGGGAGGCAGCAGUGAGGAAUAUUGGUCAAUGGGCGAGAGCCUGAACCAGCCAAGUCGCGUGAGGGAAGACGGUCCUACGGAUUGUAAACCUCUUUUGUCAGGGAGCAAGGAGCGCCACGAGUGGUGCGGCGAGAGUACCUGAAGAAAAAGCAUCGGCUAACUACGUGCCAGCAGCCGCGGUAAUACGUAGGUGGCAAGCGUUAUCCGGAUUUACUGGGUGUAAAGGGCGUGUAGGCGGGGACGCAAGUCAGAUGUGAAAACCACGGGCUCAACCUGUGGCCUGCAUUUGAAACUGUGUUUCUUGAGUACUGGAGAGGCAGACGGAAUUCCUAGUGUAGCGGUGAAAUGCGUAGAUAUUAGGAGGAACACCAGUGGCGAAGGCGGUCUGCUGGACAGCAACUGACGCUGAGGCGCGAAAGCGUGGGGAGCAAACAGGAUUAGAUACCCGAGUA
Molecule: ribosomal RNA, 467 nt
Filed under: uncultured bacterium
Lineage: Bacteria
Description: bacterial SSU rRNA
Rfam family: Bacterial small subunit ribosomal RNA
Source: RNAcentral